This 377-nucleotide ribosomal RNA is filed under the name uncultured eukaryote. RNAcentral's name for it is "partial 18S ribosomal RNA". It matches the Rfam family "Eukaryotic small subunit ribosomal RNA", at positions 592 to 975 of the family's 1831-position model. The record is from RNAcentral.
CAAUAGCGUAUAUUUAAGUUGUUGCAGUUAAAAAGCUCGUAGUUGGAUUUCGGGUGUAAACUGCCGGUCCGUCUUUGAUGUGUACUGGUUGGUUGCGCCUUAUUGUCGAGGACGUGGUUCUGGCUUUCAUUAGCUGGGACACGGAGUCGGCAGCGUUACUUUGAGAAAAUUAGAGUGUUCAAAGCAGGCUAUCGCUCUGAAUACUACAGCAUGGAAUAACACGAUAGGACUCCGAGCCUAUUCUGUUGGUCUUCGGGACCGGAGUAAUGAUUAAGAGGGACAGUUGGGGGCAUUCGUAUUCCGAUGUCAGAGGUGAAAUUCUUGGAUUAUCGGAAGACGAACAUCUGCGAAAGCAUUUGCCAAGGAUGUUUUCAUUA